GAGCGCGUUGGGCGCGUGGUCCAGGCGGCGGCUUUCGGCCGCCGCAGCGGUUGCCACCAGGAUCUCGCCUGGGCGCGUUCG
This 81-nucleotide transfer RNA is filed under the name Mycobacterium tuberculosis. RNAcentral's name for it is "tRNA-Glu". The record is from RNAcentral. Lineage: Bacteria; Bacillati; Actinomycetota; Actinomycetes; Mycobacteriales; Mycobacteriaceae.